UGCUUGCACUGGUCAAUCUAGUGGCGAACGGGUGAGUAACACGUGGGUAACCUGCCCAUCAGAGGGGGAUAACAUUCGGAAACGGAUGCUAAAACCGCAUAGGUCCUUUAACCGCAUGGUUGAAGGAGGAAAAGAGGCGCAAGCUUCUGCUGAUGGAUGGACCCGCGGUGCAUUAGGCUAGUUGGUGAGGUAACGGCUCACCAAGGCCGUGAUGCAUAGCCGACCUGAGAGGGUGAUCGGCCACAUUGGGACUGAGACACGGCCCAAACUCCUACGGGAGGCAGCAGUAGGGAAUCUUCCGCAAUGGACGCAAGUCUGACGGAGCAACGCCGCGUAAGUGAAGAAGGUUUUCGGAUCGUAAAACUCUGUUGUUAGAGAAGAACAAGUGCUAGAGUAACUGUUAGCGCCCUGACGGUAUCUAACCAGAAAGCCACGGCUAACUACGUGCCAGCAGCCGCGGUAAUACGUAGGUGGCAAGCGUUGUCCGGAUUUAUUGGGCGUAAAGCGAGCGCAGGCGGUUCCUUAAGUCUGAUGUGAAGCCCCCGGCUCAACCCGGGGAGGGUCAUUGGAAACUGGGGAACUUGAGU
This 587-nucleotide ribosomal RNA is filed under the name uncultured Bacilli bacterium. RNAcentral's name for it is "bacterial SSU rRNA". It matches the Rfam family "Bacterial small subunit ribosomal RNA", at positions 77 to 647 of the family's 1533-position model. Lineage: Bacteria; Bacillati; Bacillota; Bacilli. The record is from RNAcentral.